GAUGAACGCUGGCGGCGUGCCUAAUACAUGCAAGUCGAGCGAACGGACGAGAAGCUUGCUUCUCUGAUGUUAGCGGCGGACGGGUGAGUAACACGUGGAUAACCUACCUAUAAGACUGGGAUAACUUCGGGAAACCGGAGCUAAUACCGGAUAAUAUUUUGAACCGCAUGGUUCAAAAGUGAAAGACGGUCUUGCUGUCACUUAUAGAUGGAUCCGCGCUGCAUUAGCUAGUUGGUAAGGUAACGGCUUACCAAGGCAACGAUGCAUAGCCGACCUGAGAGGGUCAUCGGCCACACGGGAACUGAGACACGGUCCAGACUCCUACAGGAGGCAGCAGUAGGGAAUCUUCCGCAAUGAACGAAAGCCUGACGGAGCAACGCGGCGUGAGUGAUGAAGGUCUUCGGAUCGUAAAACUCUGUUAGUAGGGAAGAACAUAUGUGUAAGUAACUGUGCACAUCUUGACGGUACCUAAUCAGAAAGCCACGGCUAACUACGUG
RNAcentral lists this ribosomal RNA (497 nucleotides) under uncultured bacterium. Its description in RNAcentral is "partial 16S ribosomal RNA". It matches the Rfam family "Bacterial small subunit ribosomal RNA", at positions 28 to 507 of the family's 1533-position model. The record is from RNAcentral.